CCUCCUCCUCCCCCAGGUCUGUGUUGGGUAACACACGCCUUCUAGAGCAAGCACAUAUUUAAGCAUUCCCAGGGCACACAACAUCUGCUGCUGUAUGCUCACCCUUCCUCUGCAGCUAGACCAAAACUCAGCACAAAGGUUCUACGUGCACAAAGAUCCUGUGUGUCCACAGAUACUGGUCUGACAUGCAGUGGGCGUUCAUCAAAUAUUAAGCUCUCUCCAGCUGCCUUCCCUACAGCUCUGUUCACCAGCCUUUGCCUGAGGAAACCCAAGCCAAAGGGCCUGGAAGCGAGGCUGGGCCCAGGAUCUGUGCCUGGACCCUGGAAAUGACCUUGGCUGAGUCUGGUUCCUGUCUGCAGCAGGUCUUGU
This 369-nucleotide long non-coding RNA is filed under the name Mus spicilegus (steppe mouse). RNAcentral's name for it is "lncRNA (ENSMSIG00000009640.1)". Lineage: Eukaryota; Metazoa; Chordata; Mammalia; Rodentia; Muridae. The record is from RNAcentral.